This 680-nucleotide long non-coding RNA is filed under the name Rattus norvegicus (Norway rat). RNAcentral's name for it is "long non-coding RNA NONRATT023101". The record is from RNAcentral. Lineage: Eukaryota; Metazoa; Chordata; Mammalia; Rodentia; Muridae.
AAUUAUCUUUCACAAGCUGUUAGGAUUCCUGGGUUCCACUGGACAGAGGCCUCCUCAAUAUGCAUGCAGUGAUAAAGCUGAAGAAAACAGAGGCUCAAAUAAACAGCAGGCUAAAGAAUGGGGUUCAGAAACAUUAAGAGGGCCCGGAGCAGUGACAGCCUUAUCAGAAAGCUGCUGCUUAGAUGGAAAGGGGGCCCAGCUGCUGUCCAUCUGCUCAUGCUUUACAUUACUAAGGUGUGACAGAGGAGGAUGUGAUUGUCCCAUCUGGAGCUACCAUCUGCUGCUUUGCAAGGGCAAGGCAGAGUCUGGAUUAGAGGUCUAACUGAUUACACAAAUCCAGGUCUUUUCAAAAUAAGAAUCAAUACAGCCUCAAAAGACAGGGACAAAUGAGGUCAUCCUGAAGCUCAGUCUGACCAUUCUUACUAAUGAAUAGUACACACCGUCAUGAAUGAUUAGGCACCGGCUUAAAUUCUUACUAAACCCUAGAUGGCAGUUUUCAGAUAUGCCCUUUGCAUGGAUCGCCUGGUACCACCCAGCCCGGCAGCAGGUAUCUGCCAUUAUGGUCUUGAACACAUUGAUUUUUCCCCACGUCUUCUAACACUUGAAGGUGAUGGAUGAGUUGUUUUAUGAAAAAUCACUGUAUAUGGGUGACCAAAAGUGUUUACAUAAUAAAAUCUUCU